GAUGAACGCUAGCGGGAGGCCUAACACAUGCAAGCCGAGCGGUAUUUGUCUUUCGGGACAGAGAGAGCGGCGUACGGGUGCGGAACACGUGUGCAACCUGCCUUUAUCAGGGGGAUAGCCUUUCGAAAGGAAGAUUAAUACCCCAUAAUAUAUUGAAUGGCAUCAUUUGAUAUUGAAAACUCCGGUGGAUAGAGAUGGGCACGCGCAAGAUUAGAUAGUUGGUAGGGUAACGGCCUACCAAGUCAGUGAUCUUUAGGGGGCCUGAGAGGGUGAUCCCCCACACUAGUACUGAGACACGGACCAGACUCCUACGGGAGGCAGCAGUGAGGAAUAUUGGACAAUGGGUGAGAGCCUGAUCCAGCCAUCCCGCGUGAAGGACGACGGCCCUAUGGGUUGUAAACUUCUUUUGUAUAGGGAUAAACCUAGAUACGUGUAUCUAGCUGAAGGUACUAUACGAAUAAGCACCGGCUAACUCCGUGCCAGCAGCCGCGGUCA
Molecule: ribosomal RNA, 495 nt
Filed under: uncultured bacterium
Lineage: Bacteria
Description: partial 16S ribosomal RNA
Rfam family: Bacterial small subunit ribosomal RNA
Source: RNAcentral